AAGAAAUAAAAAACAAUAACAGCAACAACAACAAUAACAAAAGCCUUAUUUUUUCCAAAAUGCUUUUAGGAAGCUGUUUCUUAUGCCUCAGACUCCUAGAAUCUCAUGAAGGAUGCAAUUUCUUUGACAUUGACCAACUCCACUUGCCUCUUAGAGGAGAUGAUGUGAGUAAAGCAACAGAAAUUCACAUGAAGGUGUAGAACAUUGCUUCUGGGUCAUCUUCAGAUACAUAUUUGGGCAGAGAAAGGGAGGCCAGAUAGUCCUAUCUGCAUAUGAGUUCGAGUCCCCUCCCAGUGGGGCUGCGGCCAUGCUGAGCUGAGCUCUGUCUUCUCUGUGGAUUCACAGUCCCAGGCUCGUGACCACGAAGAGGACCUGGUGAGGGUCAGAGAUGGGGACUCACUGAGCCAGGUGCUUCUUCACCCACCUCACUUCAGGUCCCAUUGACCCAUAUUGGGUCCCAUGUCAUCUAUGAAGAGCCUGGGAAAGUGGCUGUGUGUCCAGCAUCGAUUAUUACAGGAUGCUGGCUGCAUCAACCAGAAGGAAGGAGAAAGAGAGCUAUGAGCAGGCACUCCAGAGCAUUGUUGCCCAGGAAAAUCCUUUUAAUCCAGGUUUCCCCAGUGAGAGGUCACUGAUUAAGCUUCAUCAGUCAUCAUUUUCUGUGUGAAUGAAUUCCCAUCCCUCUUUCCUUCUGGCGGGAUCAUCAAGUCUGAUGAGGCUGGGGAAGAGGUUUGCGGCCAGUGGAGCAAUGAGGCUGUGUGGGGAAGGUCCCCAGAGAGGUAAUUCGGCUGUCUGUCAAAAGGACAAGGAUACUCAGAGCUGCAGCCUGGAGGCCUGAGGCCUGAAUCCAAUGCACUGACCUGCCGUGUUCAAACUGUACAGAAACAACGAAAACAUUAUUUGAUUUAACAAAAUUAGGAGCUCCUCAGAACCAAGAGGAAUGGGGGACGCUAAACGUGGACUGGCCGCUACUGCUAGCCAAGCUGGCCAGUGAGGACAUGGUGGACACAAGGCUGUCACCUGUGUGACGUGAGCUCAGCAGCUCAUGUACAUUUCGCUUCAUGCCCACCUCGCCAGCCUGCACUUCCCACACUCCAGCCCCUGUGUACCCGUAACACAAGAUCACUCUGAGUACCCAGCACUCCCUUGCGUAGGUUUGGCCAUGUCUGACAGCGCAUGCUGUUAAUCUGUGUACCCAUGCAUGCACAAAAACACAAACACACACAAACACAUCUUUAAAGUGACAUAGGUUUUCUUGAAAUAAUUUCAAAAGACACAUUUUUUAUUAUUUUAAAUAGAAGGUCACCAUCACUUGCCACAAACAGAAGACAUGCAAAACCAUAUUAAAACAAAAUGUUUAAGAAUUCCAGCCAGAUUUAGUUUCUUGUCAAAGCUCUCUGCCAGAGGCCUGUGUCCUUUUGCUAUGGAAGAAGACUGGGACCAGGAGCAGUGGCUCACUCCUGUAACCGCAGCACUUUGGGAGGCUGAGGCCUAUGGAUCACCCGAGAUGCAGUGGUUUGAGACAUAGUAACUGAAGAUAUGGACACUAAAUCCCUCCAUAUUUCUAUACAGUGAAAAAUCAAUAAUGGUAAUUGGAAUCUCUGUCUCCCUCAGCCCUGAUUUAUCCUUCCUCUUUGUGGUUUAUACUUUCCAUGUAUGAACCAUAAAACUGUAAUGGAGAAACAUUUUUGCCUAUGAGGAGCAAAGAGAGCUGCUUUGCUGAAUGACUGUGAGUAAAUGAGGAUUCUUUGAAGAAGUGCAGGGCUUCUGUUCCUCCGUGUUGUGGGCAGCACACGCCUGCCCUAUUCGUCUUCGUCAUGGCUGCACCUGUGCUACAGAAUGCUCAUAGACUAGUGCUGCCCAUGCAGGGAGCCCAGAGGCUGCACUUUCUCAGUUUACCUCAUGGCUUCAGAGUGACAUGAGGCAUUGAAAUAAGUGAGCAUUGAAUCUGAGGGCUCAGGAGCCACCUUCUACCUUUGCUCCUUUGGUGACAUGCUAGAUGCCCUCUGGUAAGUCAGUUAAAUUCUUUGGGCCUCCUCUGAAAAUUGGAUCCAAUGAGGCCAACACUUCCUGUUUCACAGGGUUACAUGGGGCUCACAUGCAAUUCAAGAACAAACUUUGUAAUACGAGGCAAAAGAUACACAAACAAGCAUGUACAUUACUCAGACAAAGGCUUGGUCCUAUGAGACAAUGGGGCAUGUUCUCAUAAGAUUCCUGUGAACUUUGUAGGCUCUUGGGGCUACAGGAAAACAAUUUUAAUUGAAGAGAGAAAGAAGAAUGAGACCAGGAUGUGGCCAUGGGUGAUCUCAGCUACAGAGCAUCCUGCCCAAGAAGCCUUGGCACAGUCCACGUGAUGUCAUGCCCCAGAGUUAAAGAAACUAGUAACUCACUGCAAUUCUUGAGUUUAUAAGAUGACAGACAAAAAAGAAACAACGUGUGGAGAUGUUGAAACUCCCUCUGCUUAUGAGAUAAAAAGAACUGGCUGAAAUUGGUUGGAACCAAUGUGGCCAAAUAAAGUCUGCACAGAACAAGCUUGCUGAUGUCACAGCCUGAAUUUCAACACAAGUUUCAUACUAACUACCCCCAAAUUUGCACAUGAGACCCAUGAGGAGGUAUGAAGAGAUAACUGUGUGAGGCUGAGGACUUUCCAGACCUCCCUUUUCCUUCUACCAAUUACCUACUAACCCCAGAAUCCACCCCUAAACCUUUUCUAAUAAAAUUACUGCCUUAAAGCCAGCACAGGAAGACAGAUUUGAGCUGUACUUCUGUCUCCUUGUUGGUUGAUGUACAAUAAAA
RNAcentral lists this long non-coding RNA (2793 nucleotides) under Homo sapiens (human). RNAcentral describes it as "PREDICTED lncRNA (TCONS_00066771)". Lineage: Eukaryota; Metazoa; Chordata; Mammalia; Primates; Hominidae. The record is from RNAcentral.